AACACGAAGACAAGGAGACGCAGGCCAGCUGUGGUGUGGGUGUGGCUAGUGCCGGGGAACAGUCUCUGAGGUGCAGAAAGUUGGCUGUGACUCAGACAUCAUUCUGAGCUACCACUCCACACUCUGGACCCCACAGCAACCGCUGGUUGGUCCAUUGUGUUCAGGUAUUUCAACAGGAACCCUGGCAGCUCCUGAACGUCUAUGGAAAAGAGGGGAGAAGAGCACCUUCCGUUGAGAGUCCUGAUGGCCACUCGAGGCCCUGCCGAUAAUUAGUGGCAAGCUGGGACUGGCGCUCAGGUCCCCUGCCUGGGAUGCCACCACUGUCCCGGCUUCUUUAUCUGGUAAAUUACAAACUAUGUUUCUAGGCUCAAUCAACCUAAACGGGACCUCUUCCGUGUGGCUUCCCUCUCUGUUCCUAAGCAACAAGCCAGGAGCCUUUCACACAUACCCUUGAUAGCACUAGUCAGAUUGUGUGGGGAUUUGUCUCUCACUCUGUCCGUCUACUUCCAGGCCAUGAGGCCUCAAGGGUACACGCUGGGCCUGAGUUGCCCUCAGAAUCUGUUAUAGUGCCGGCUACAGACACGUUUGUUCAGUAAAGAAAUGAAGGAAUGAUGCCAAGCCGAUUCUGCUGCGAGACCCUCAGAGUCACCCUUCAAAGAAGAGGACUGGCCUUGCUUGCUGGUGAAGAGCUCAGCCUUUGGAAUCCAAAUUCCAAUUUCUCCUUUCAAAGCUGUUUGGUUUGCAGUGAAUUAGCCUCUAUACACUUCACUUUCCACACUGUACAAUUGGGACUGACGGGGUCUAUCUCACACAGUGGUUAUGGGCAUUGUGUUAGGAAAACCACCCAGUUCUCCUCCUGUGCGUCUCCUUUACUUUCACACAGGACACCAGUUCUGACACAUCUGGUCGCUACAUGUGUGCGGGGUUUUCCCACACCAACAAGCAGUUCUCUGUGAUACCAGCUGCGUGUCCUAUAAUUUAACUUGAUUCUGACACUAUCUACCUGGAGAUAGAGUCAGAUCCCACAGGUUAAGGACUCAGUCCCACAAGACGCUCCCACCCCCCUUCAGAUGCCAAUCAUAAGUAGUAGGUGACCCACAACUUCCAUCUGACUUGGCUAUACAUAGGAGAUUCUCAUGCCCUCCUCCCCCUUGGAUUCGAUUAUUUGCUAGAACAGCUCACAGAACUGAGGGAAACACUUA
Molecule: long non-coding RNA, 1202 nt
Filed under: Equus caballus (horse)
Lineage: Eukaryota; Metazoa; Chordata; Mammalia; Perissodactyla; Equidae
Description: lncRNA (ENSECAG00000051615.1)
Source: RNAcentral